UAAGCCCUACGGGGGGCAGCAGUGGGGAAUAUUGCACAAUGGGGGGAACCCUGAUGCAGCGACGCCGCGUGAAGGAAGAAGUAUUUCGGUAUGUAAACUUCUAUCAGCAGGGAAGAAAAAGGACGGUACCUGACUAAGAAGCCCCGGCUAACUACGUGCCAGCAGCCGCGGUAAUACGUAGGGGGCGAGCGUUAUCCGGAUUUAUUGGGUUUAAAGGGUGCGUAGGCGGAGUGUCAAGUCAGCGGUAAAAUUUCGGGGCUCAACCCCGUCGUGCCGUUGAAACUGACGCCCUUGAGUGAGUGAGA
Molecule: ribosomal RNA, 305 nt
Filed under: uncultured bacterium
Lineage: Bacteria
Description: bacterial SSU rRNA
Rfam family: Bacterial small subunit ribosomal RNA
Source: RNAcentral